UGCGUAGGCGGGUCUUUAAGUCAGGGGUGAAAUCCUGGAGCUCAACUCCAGAACCGCCUUUGAUACUGAAGAUCUUGAGUUCGGGAGAGGUGAGUGGAACUGCGAGUGUAGAGGUGAAAUUCGUAGAUAUUCGCAAGAACACCAGUGGCGAAGGCGGCUCACUGGCCCGAUACUGACGCUGAGGCACGAAAAGCGUGGGGGAGCAAACA
Molecule: ribosomal RNA, 209 nt
Filed under: uncultured bacterium
Lineage: Bacteria
Description: partial 16S ribosomal RNA
Rfam family: Bacterial small subunit ribosomal RNA
Source: RNAcentral